Molecule: long non-coding RNA, 212 nt
Filed under: Volvox carteri
Lineage: Eukaryota; Viridiplantae; Chlorophyta; Chlorophyceae; Chlamydomonadales; Volvocaceae
Description: long non-coding RNA (VCAR_LNC000672)
Source: RNAcentral
GCGCUCUGUUACAGGUCCUUACAGCUGCUAACAGUCCCUAGAAUCAGACAACUGUUAACAGUGUGGGCUCCAGGUAUAUGUCAGUCACAGGGCCAAACAGGACAAGACAGCCUCUAACCCAGUGUCUAACUGGCUGUUAUGCCACGUUGACAACUAUCGUCAGCAGCUGAUAAUGAGCCCGUCUAACAGCUCCACCUAAGAAGUUAGACGCU